RNAcentral lists this unclassified non-coding RNA (336 nucleotides) under soil metagenome. RNAcentral's name for it is "partial contains 5.8S ribosomal RNA, internal transcribed spacer 2, and large subunit ribosomal RNA". The stretch from base 1 to 119 matches the Rfam family "5.8S ribosomal RNA", at positions 35 to 154 of the family's 154-position model. The record is from RNAcentral.
GAUGAAGAACGCAGCGAAAUGCGAUAAGUAAUGCGAAUUGCAGAAUCCGUGAGUCAUCGAAUCUUUGAACGCACAUUGCGCCCCUUGGUAUUCCAUGGGGCAUGCCUGUUCGAGCGUCAUUUGUACCUUCAAGCUUUGCUUGGUGUUGGGUGUUUGUCCUGCCUUUGCGUACGGACUCGCCUUAAAUCUAUUGGCAGCCGGCAAUCUGGUGUUUGAGCGCAGCACAUUUUGCGCUCUUCGCUGGUAUUGCGGCGUCCAUGAAGCCUAUAUUCUAGCGCUUGACCUCGGAUCAGGUAGGGAUACCCGCUGAACUUAAGCAUAUCAAUAAGCGGAGGA